AAGUCGUAACAAGGUUUCCGUAGGUGAACCUGCGGAAGGAUCAUUAACACGUAUCCACGUAUUACUCUACUUAUCAACAAACCAUGAACCGUGCUCCCUGUACAGGUCGACCUGCCUUGCUGUCCGAUUUGGGUUGUAGUGGGUUACACUUCGGUGUGACACACCCGGUCGGGCUAUCACUCCUCCGAGAGUGUGGCAUCAAGCAAACUGACUGACAGGCUUACUAACACUUACUUCGUUCCAACCACUUUGGGGCGUGGCGAGGAGCCCAUACCAAUUUCACCCUAUCUUACCUAAUUGGCUAAUACUUUACAUUCAGCGGGAGAAAUCCCGAUUGAAUCAUCUAAGAUUUAUCUUAACUAAGCACAACUCUUAGCAAUGGAUAUCUUGGUUCUC
This 396-nucleotide unclassified non-coding RNA is filed under the name fungal sp. Its description in RNAcentral is "partial internal transcribed spacer region". The stretch from base 1 to 46 matches the Rfam family "Eukaryotic small subunit ribosomal RNA", at positions 1786 to 1831 of the family's 1831-position model. Lineage: Eukaryota; Fungi. The record is from RNAcentral.